GCCCAUUCCAGCUCAUGACAAUAAGCCAAUUAAAACUUUAAAGCCUGGCACAAAAUGCUUCAGCGUCUCUAUGUCUCAAUCAAAGACCAUGCUACAGGGCUCUGGGUGUGAACACUCUGUCUACUCAGAGCUGCUUCACUUGGAGCCUCCACGUUCUUCCCUCGCUGUGGGCAAAAGGCACCCCACUGCCUGCUUUAAUGCACAGAUCCAUCCUUAGCGUAUCUAAGACAGCUGAUUUCCUCAAUCAAACGUGACAACUGAGGAAGUAGCCAAAGAAUGCAUUGAGUCAGGUCACCCCUGGGCAGGGGUGGGCCCCACCAUAGAGAGCUAAAUGGGCUGUAUGCACUGGGCUCAGGAGGACUUGCAGGAGCUUAAGAUUCCCAGGAAGGAGACCGAAGCCAUGCAAAUGGAAAAGGGAAUGCUGAAACCGGAGCCACAUAGACAUCUGCUUAUAGUUCUGGGCCUGUGCCUGGAGCAAUGGGCACCACAGUCUCCCCCAAGGACAGUGAAGAGAGAAUGCCUGCCACCCAGGGAGAGCAUCCACAGCGCCAGCCAGAAGCUCCAAAUGUCAGGGACUAAGUCUACAGAGGAGCUCCUCUCUAAGCAAAGGUCGUAAGGACCGGAACCUUAGUCGAUGCCACCUUAAUAGAAAAAAAUUCAAAAUCCUGCCAUAGAGAGAGAAAAUUCCUUUAGGAGGGGAACUUUUCUUAGACCCAGUGUGGCUAGCACCACACAGGCAUUCCACCUGCAAUCCCUCAGGCCGCUUGCUUUUGGGGGGCCCGAGUUCCCAGGCAAUCGCAGUGAGGAAAGCUGACGUCUCCGGGGAGCUGGG
This 832-nucleotide long non-coding RNA is filed under the name Callithrix jacchus (white-tufted-ear marmoset). Its description in RNAcentral is "lncRNA (ENSCJAG00000061514.2)". Lineage: Eukaryota; Metazoa; Chordata; Mammalia; Primates; Cebidae. The record is from RNAcentral.